This 208-nucleotide long non-coding RNA is filed under the name Hordeum vulgare. RNAcentral describes it as "long non-coding RNA (HVUL_LNC010053)". The record is from RNAcentral. Lineage: Eukaryota; Viridiplantae; Streptophyta; Magnoliopsida; Poales; Poaceae.
UGCAUUGUACGGAAUUUUUAAAGCUCGAUCUGACCUUCUAGAUGGAAAUCUGAUAAAAUAAAUACUAGCAAACUCUUUGAGGAUUUAUCAUUGCUUGUCCCAUUGUGUCUUCAGAUUUCGAUGGGAAACGGUCUUUAUUCCAUGUAUUUUAUAAAAAAUUACUCGUAUUACUGUAGAACUUACUCUCCCUGUCUUAAACUUACUCUCU